UAAUGAUAAUGGUGAUGGUGAUGGCGAUGAUGAUGAUAAUAAUGAUAAUAAUAUCAUCAUCAUAAUCACCAUCGGUUUAU
This 80-nucleotide microRNA precursor is filed under the name Pediculus humanus corporis (human body louse). RNAcentral's name for it is "microRNA mir-598". The record is from RNAcentral. Lineage: Eukaryota; Metazoa; Arthropoda; Insecta; Psocodea; Pediculidae.